Molecule: signal recognition particle RNA, 291 nt
Filed under: Ramazzottius varieornatus
Lineage: Eukaryota; Metazoa; Tardigrada; Eutardigrada; Parachela; Ramazzottiidae
Description: Metazoan signal recognition particle RNA
Rfam family: Metazoan signal recognition particle RNA
About the family: The signal recognition particle (SRP) is a universally conserved ribonucleoprotein.
Source: Rfam by way of RNAcentral
GCUGGCUGGCGUAGCGCCCAGCUGUAACCCUGCGUUUGGGGGGCUUGGACAUUGAACGGCCUAUUGUACGGGGUUAACUGGAGGGGUCCUACUGAUUUAGGUGGUGCCUUAGCAUGCGGAUUGUCAACAAGGGCUGAUCUGCGUAAGCGAUCGGUCCUGGUUGUUAGAGAGACGUCCACCAGGCCAGGCAGGAAACUGAGCAACCGAUAGCGUCCGCAGUCUUCAGUGCUAAGAUUACAACGCCGUUCGGAGGGCCUCACAGCCUGUAUGAGAAGCUGAACCUUGUCCUUU